This 1117-nucleotide ribosomal RNA is filed under the name Fictibacillus sp. Its description in RNAcentral is "bacterial SSU rRNA". It matches the Rfam family "Bacterial small subunit ribosomal RNA", at positions 69 to 1171 of the family's 1533-position model. The record is from RNAcentral. Lineage: Bacteria; Bacillati; Bacillota; Bacilli; Caryophanales; Fictibacillaceae.
AUGAUGAGGAGCUUGCUCCUCUGAUUUAGCGGCGGACGGGUGAGUAACACGUGGGUAAUCUGCCUGUAAGACGGGGAUAACUCCGGGAAACCGGGGCUAAUACCGGAUAAUAAGAGAAGAAGCAUUUCUUCUUUUUGAAAGUCGGUUUCGGCUGACACUUACAGAUGAGCCCGCGGCGCAUUAGCUAGUUGGUGAGGUAACGGCUCACCAAGGCGACGAUGCGUAGCCGACCUGAGAGGGUGAUCGGCCACACUGGGACUGAGACACGGCCCAGACUCCUACGGGAGGCAGCAGUAGGGAAUCUUCGGCAAUGGGCGAAAGCCUGACCGAGCAACGCCGCGUGAGCGAUGAAGGCCUUCGGGUCGUAAAGCUCUGUUGUUAGAGAAGAACAAGUACGAGAGUAACUGCUCGUACCUUGACGGUACCUAACCAGAAAGCCACGGCUAACUACGUGCCAGCAGCCGCGGUAAUACGUAGGUGGCAAGCGUUAUCCGGAAUUAUUGGGCGUAAAGCGCGCGCAGGCGGUCUCUUAAGUCUGAUGUGAAAGCCCACGGCUCAACCGUGGAGGGUCAUUGGAAACUGGGAGACUUGAGUGCAGGAGAGAAAAGUGGAAUUCCACGUGUAGCGGUGAAAUGCGUAGAGAUGUGGAGGAACACCAGUGGCGAAGGCGGCUUUUUGGCCUGUAACUGACGCUGAGGCGCGAAAGCGUGGGGAGCAAACAGGAUUAGAUACCCUGGUAGUCCACGCCGUAAACGAUGAGUGCUAGGUGUUGGGGGGUUCCACCCUCAGUGCUGAAGUUAACACAUUAAGCACUCCGCCUGGGGAGUACGACCGCAAGGUUGAAACUCAAAGGAAUUGACGGGGGCCCGCACAAGCAGUGGAGCAUGUGGUUUAAUUCGAAGCAACGCGAAGAACCUUACCAGGUCUUGACAUCCUUUGACCACUCUAGAGAUAGAGCUUUCCCCUUCGGGGGACAAAGUGACAGGUGGUGCAUGGUUGUCGUCAGCUCGUGUCGUGAGAUGUUGGGUUAAGUCCCGCAACGAGCGCAACCCUUGACCUUAGUUGCCAGCAUUCAGUUGGGCACUCUAAGGUGACUGCCGGUGACAAACCGGAGGAA